This 513-nucleotide ribosomal RNA is filed under the name uncultured bacterium. RNAcentral's name for it is "partial 16S ribosomal RNA". It matches the Rfam family "Bacterial small subunit ribosomal RNA", at positions 28 to 523 of the family's 1533-position model. The record is from RNAcentral.
GACGAACGCUGGCGGCAUGCCUAAUACAUGCAAGUCGAGCGAACAGAUGAAGUGCUUGCACUUCUGACGUUAGCGGCGAACGGGUGAGUAACACGUAAGGAAUCUACCUAUAAGCGGGGGAUAACAUUCGGAAACGGGUGCUAAUACCGCAUAAUAUCUUCUUCCGCAUGGACGAAGAUUGAAAGACGGCUCUGCUGUCACUUAUAGAUGACCUUGCGGUGCAUUAGUUAGUUGGUGGGGUAACGGCCUACCAAGACGAGGAUGCAUAGCCGACCUAGAAGGGUGCUCGGCCAGAUGGGGACUGAGACACGGCCCAAACUCCGACGGGAGGCAGCAGUAGGGAAUCUUCCGCAAUGGGCGAAAGCCUGACAGAGCAAUGCCGCGUGAGUGAAGAAGGCCUUCGGGUCGUAAAACUCUGUUAUAAGAGAAGAACAAAUUGUAGAGUAACUGCUACAGUCUUGACGGUAUCUUAUCAGAAAGCCACGGCUAACUACGUGCCAGCCGCCGCCGUAA